UACAGAGGGUGCAAGCGUUAAUCGGAGUUACUGGGCGUAAAGGGCGCGUAGGCGGUUUGAAGGGUGUGAUGUGAAAGCCUUGGGCUUAACCUGAGAAGUGCAUCGCAAACCAGCAAACUGGAGUAUAUGAGAGGGUGGCGGAAUUUCCGGUGUAGCGGUGAAAUGCGUAGAGAUCGGAAGGAACGUCAAUGGCGAAGGCAGCCACCUGGCAUAAUACUGACGCUGAGGCGCGAAAGCGUGGGGAGCGAACAGGAUUAGAUACCCUGGUAGUCCACGCUGUAAACGAUGAUGACUAAAUGUUGCUGGGGGAACCUAGCAGUAUUGAAGCUAACGCGAUAAGUCAUCCGCCUGGGAAGUACGGCCGCAAGGUUGAA
Molecule: ribosomal RNA, 374 nt
Filed under: uncultured bacterium
Lineage: Bacteria
Description: bacterial SSU rRNA
Rfam family: Bacterial small subunit ribosomal RNA
Source: RNAcentral